This 613-nucleotide long non-coding RNA is filed under the name Monodelphis domestica (gray short-tailed opossum). RNAcentral describes it as "lncRNA (ENSMODG00000030143.2)". The record is from RNAcentral. Lineage: Eukaryota; Metazoa; Chordata; Mammalia; Didelphimorphia; Didelphidae.
AGAAUGAUUUUUUUAAACCAACUAUUUUUGGUGUCAGGUUAAUUAAAUAUUUUUUCUCUCAAGAAACAUGCAGACUGUGAAGCUGAACCACAAACAACAAAUCUGUCCAACUCCUUGAAAAUUAGAAAGGAUUGAAAAGAAAUUAAUAACUCUGAGAAAACAAGAAUCAUCCAGAAAAAAGGCCAAAAUCAACACUCAGGGGAGCUUUGAUUGUUAGCUCCCCUUUUCAAAAAAGACUAGUAACCCAAACUCUGCCUCUUGCAAUGAAACUGCCACCAAUAAGAGAGAGAGAUGCAAUAUAAGAUAAACUGCCUGCAGUAAUAUUAACCCUUUCCUGACUCAAUGACAAGAAGAGAAAAUACAACACCUUCUGGAGAACCAGAUCCUAUAAUGAGGAAUACAGAAACUUCUUCAGUGUUAACCAACAUAACAUUAUAAACAAGGCUAGUCUCUCAUCUCUGCAAAGAAGUGGGAUAAGGGAGAACAAGGUAGAGCAAGAAUAUUCAAGGACAAGGAAACUACUCUUGCUUUCUAUUAUGGAUACAUAUAUCCUUUUCAUUGGAGCCAAUAUCAAAGAUUAAGAAAGUUAACUUUUAUAGGAGGUGUUAAGGUG